GCUUGUCUCAAAGAUUAAGCCAUGCAUGUCUAAGUGUAAAUAAGUCUAUACUGUGAAACUGCGAAUGGCUCAUUAAAUCAGUUAUCGUUUAUUUGAUAGUCGCUUACUACAUGGAUAACCGUGGUAAUUCUAGAGCUAAUACAUGCGUAAAGACCCGACUUCUGGGAGGGUCGUAUUUAUUAGAUGGAAACCAAUGCGGGGUAACCCGGAAUAUGGUGAUUCAUAAUAACUUUCGGAUCGAUUUAUCGAUGCAUCAUUCAAGUUUCUGCCCUAUCAGCUUUGGAUGGUAGGGUAUUGGCCUACCAUGGCUUUAACGGGUAACGGAGAAUUAGGGUUCGAUUCCGGAGAGGGAGCCUGAGAAACGGCUACCACAUCCAAGGAAGGCAGCAGG
RNAcentral lists this ribosomal RNA (391 nucleotides) under uncultured Chrysophyceae. RNAcentral describes it as "partial small subunit ribosomal RNA". It matches the Rfam family "Eukaryotic small subunit ribosomal RNA", at positions 30 to 432 of the family's 1831-position model. The record is from RNAcentral. Lineage: Eukaryota; Chrysophyceae.